Molecule: RNase P RNA, 442 nt
Filed under: Kiloniella laminariae
Lineage: Bacteria; Pseudomonadati; Pseudomonadota; Alphaproteobacteria; Rhodospirillales; Kiloniellaceae
Description: RNase P RNA component class A
Rfam family: Bacterial RNase P class A
About the family: Ribonuclease P (RNase P) is a ubiquitous endoribonuclease, found in archaea, bacteria and eukarya as well as chloroplasts and mitochondria.
Source: RNAcentral
UCAGACGGUCCGACAGGCUGCUCUUUCCGGCAGGUUCGCCUGAACCGGAAAGGGAGGAAAGUCCGGGCUCCACGGGAAUACGGUGCCGGAUAACGUCCGGCGGGGGCGACCCCAGGGAAAGUGCCACAGAAAGGAAACCGCCUGUAGGUCAGAAUUUCUUCGGAGGUUCGACAGGCAGGUAAGGGUGAAAGGGUGCGGUAAGAGCGCACCGCGCGGCCAGCAAUGGAAGCGGCAUGGUAAACCCCACCGGGAGCAAGACUAAAUAGGGUCGACAGAACCACAGGGCCUCGGCCUUGCGGGUUCAGGUGUUUUUCCGCACCGUCGACCGGGUCAGUUGCGCGAGGUGUUCAGCAAUGAACAUCCCAGAUGAAUAGCCUUCCGUUGUCACAGGGCUCCGGUUCUGGGGCAAGCGACAAAACCCGGCUUAUGACCGUCUGACAUU